CCUACGGGAGGCAGCAGUAGGGAAUCUUCCGCAAUGGACGAAAGCCUGACGGAGCAACGCCGCGUGAGUGAUGAAGGUCUUCGGCUCGUAAAGCUCUGUCGGCAGGGAAGAACGUUCGCGGUAGUAACUAGCCUUGAAUUGACGGUACCUACUUAGAAAGCCACGGCUAACUACGUGCCAGCAGCCGCGGUAAUACGUAGGUGGCAAGCGUUAUCCGGAAUUAUUGGGCGUAAAGCGCGCGUAGGCGGUUGAUUAAGUCUAAUGUGAAAGCCUUCGGCUCAACCGGGGAAUUGCAUUUGAAACUGGCAAACUGGAGUGUAGAAGAGGAGAGUGGAAUUCCAUGUGUAGCGGGGGAAUGCGGAGAUAUAUGGAGGAACACCAGUGGCGAAGGCGACUUUCUGGUCUGUAACUGACGCUGAGGAGCGAAAGCGUGGGUAGCGAACAGGAUUAGAUACCCCUGUAGUC
This 465-nucleotide ribosomal RNA is filed under the name uncultured bacterium. RNAcentral describes it as "partial 16S ribosomal RNA". It matches the Rfam family "Bacterial small subunit ribosomal RNA", at positions 338 to 795 of the family's 1533-position model. The record is from RNAcentral.